Molecule: ribosomal RNA, 253 nt
Filed under: uncultured bacterium
Lineage: Bacteria
Description: partial 16S ribosomal RNA
Rfam family: Bacterial small subunit ribosomal RNA
Source: RNAcentral
GACGUAGGGCGCGAGCGUUGUCCGGAUUUAUUGGGCGUAAAGAGCUCGUAGGCGGCUUGUUGCGUCGGCUGUGAAAACCCAUGGCUUAACCGUGGGCUUGCAGCCGAUACGGGCAGGCUAGAGUUCGGUAGGGGAGACUGGAAUUCCUGGUGUAGCGGUGAAAUGCGCAGAUAUCAGGAGGAACACCGGUGGCGAAGGCGGGCCUCUGGGCCGAUACUGACGCUGAGGAGCGAAAGCGUGGGGAGCGAACAGG